CCCGUGUAAUAUGAAGGUUGUACAGAACGUACGGCGGCCCAGCAACCGAGCUGCAGCCCGAAGCCUUAGCCGAACCCAAUUCGCACACGCCCCUUGGUAGAUGGGCCGAAAUCGAAGUAGGCUUGGUGUGAGAGAGGGCUUAAAAGCCAGUUAAGAAAAGGCCAGGAUCCUCACUCUCAAGUCUCAAAACACAGGCCAGGAAACCAGGCCUGUACAGAAAUGCCUUUUAAGACCAUAGUGUAGUAGCACGAAGCAUCGACACAUUUUCUCAAAGAAAAAAAAAUGAAGCAUUGAGACAUUGGAUAUUCCGAAAAGUUCGCUCAAAAAAAGAAAAGGAUAUUCCGCAAAGAGUAAGCAAGGCAGCUCUCUCUCCCUCUAAAGAAAAGGUAAGCAUGGUCGGCCACCAUUGGAUAUUCUUUUCUUUACCUGGAAUCGUACGCUUUUGGGGUAAAUAAAUCUG
RNAcentral lists this long non-coding RNA (460 nucleotides) under Brachypodium distachyon (stiff brome). RNAcentral describes it as "long non-coding RNA (BDIS_LNC005939)". Lineage: Eukaryota; Viridiplantae; Streptophyta; Magnoliopsida; Poales; Poaceae. The record is from RNAcentral.